This 448-nucleotide ribosomal RNA is filed under the name uncultured bacterium. Its description in RNAcentral is "SSU rRNA". It matches the Rfam family "Bacterial small subunit ribosomal RNA", at positions 26 to 518 of the family's 1533-position model. The record is from RNAcentral.
AGAACGAACGCUGGCGGCAGGCCUAACACAUGCAAGUCGAACGCCCGUAGCAAUACGGGAGUGGCAGACGGGUGAGUAACGCGUGGGAACGUGCCCUUCGGUUCGGAAUAACUCAGGGAAACUUGAGCUAAUACCGGAUACGUCCGUAAGGAGAAAGAUUUAUCGCCGAAGGAUCGGCCCGCGUCGGAUUAGCUAGUUGGUGAGGUAACGGCCCACCAAGGCGACGAUCCGUAGCUGGUCUGAGAGGAUGAUCAGCCACACUGGGACUGAGACACGGCCCAGACUCCUACGGGAGGCAGCAGUGGGGAAUAUUGGACAAUGGGCGCAAGCCUGAUCCAGCCAUGCCGCGUGAGUGAAGAAGGCCUUAGGGUUGUAAAGCUCCUUCAGCGGGGAAGAUAAUGACGGUACCCGCAGAAGAAGCCCCGGCUAACUUCGUGCCAGCAGCCGC